GGGACUGACGCCUGCCCGUGGGAGAAGCUUCGGAUGAAGACUUUACUUGUGAGGAAGGGCAUAAGUUAAUACCUUGCUGUUUUGACUUACCGACAGAAUAACCACCGGCUAACUUCGUGCCAGCAGCCGCGGUAAUACGAAGGGUGCAAGCGUUAAUCGGAAUUACUGGGCGUAAAGCGCGCGUAGGUGGUUUGUUAAGUUGGAUGUGAAAGCCCCGGGCUCAACCUGGGAACUGCAUCCAAAACUGGCAAGCUAGAGUAUGGCAGAGGGUGGUGGAAUUUCCUGUGUAGCGGUGAAAUGCGUAGAUAUAGGAAGGAACACCAGUGGCGAAGGCGACCACCUGGGCUAAUACUGACACUGAGGUGCGAAAGCGUGGGGAGCAAACAGGAUUAGAUACCCCAGUAGUCAA
Molecule: ribosomal RNA, 409 nt
Filed under: Pseudomonas sp.
Lineage: Bacteria; Pseudomonadati; Pseudomonadota; Gammaproteobacteria; Pseudomonadales; Pseudomonadaceae
Description: bacterial SSU rRNA
Rfam family: Bacterial small subunit ribosomal RNA
Source: RNAcentral